Long non-coding RNA from Lolium rigidum, 3105 nucleotides. RefSeq lists it as uncharacterized. Lineage: Eukaryota; Viridiplantae; Streptophyta; Magnoliopsida; Poales; Poaceae. The record is from RefSeq and is a predicted model, not a curated record. The transcript is spliced from 3 exons.
AUUCCCCCACCCUCGUUCUGAACAGGCCGGCGCAGGUGGCGGCGGUGGAGAUCCUAGGAGAAGCUGGCGGCGAUGGGGGUCGGAGGAGAAGGGAUCUGGCAGGCGCUCCCGAACGGAGGUGAGGGCAGGCACUAGCGGAGGUCCGAAGAGAUGGGAGAUGGGAGAUGGGGGAGGUCGGAGGUGGAUGGAUAUGGGGGCUUGCGGCGGUGGAGGUCGGAGGAGAUGCGAGGAGGGUGGCGCUGGAUCGGGGAGGAUGUGGAGGAGGGCAACGACAAUGCCGGGAAGGUGGGAGGAGAGCGGCAGCGGUGGAGAAGACGGGUGGGGAAAAUUUUCUAUGAUUCCAACUCUUUCUUUGCCUCGCCGUACUUCAUCACGGCAAGGAAAGGCCAUGACUAUAAUAUUGGUACACCCUUUCACAUGCCAUCGAUCUGCCAUGAUUUCUCAAGAAUUCAAGUCAAUUGGACAUUGAAGCUCUUAGCAGAGCUAGCUGACUGAGUUGGUUCACUUCGGAAGGAGAGAGAGGGCACCUUCCACCCAUCAGAUGGCAACACGGCUAGGGCCUUUGACUCAAUGGCCAGGACAAUGGAUGGGCAGCUUCAAGGUAUGAUAUUUUUGCUCGCUCUUCAUGUGCUUACUUUUAUUCCUUCCCACUGUUUGUUUCGGGUUGAGAAAUGAAGGAUGCCAUGAUUUUUUUAUCUUAAGCUAACGACAUGAUCAUAAUGAUCAAGAAGGCAUGAAGUUUAUUUAUUUGAGUGGUAAGAGAAGGAUUCAUGUGAGGGGACAGAUUGUGGGGAGUUGUGCCUUCCCGGCCAGAUCAGGAUGUCAAAACCGGCAACCUCAUAAAUUCUGGGAGCACCUUUCUCUUUUGUCUUUGCAAUAGUACAGGCUCCUCAAGGAACAUAUUUGGUCGCAACGAUUCAUAAAUUUUAAUGGGUAUAUUAGGGGUUGCACUUAGAUCUGGAUUUACUAAUUUAUCUCUUUUUUUGAUUAUCUUUAUUUAUACUGGCUCAUACUUCCAUAUGGAUAUGAAACUAUUUACUCUUGUGUUAUCUGAAAUGAAAAUCUUCCCUUCAUAUGCAGGUUUACUACUAUUUUACAUUUUGUGUUCAUUCUUAUCCAGCCCAGAUGACCAAAUGGAUUUGAGGUAUCAUUCAUAUUAGGUUAGUGUGUCUCGUUAUUUGUGGCAAAUCACAAACAACCGAAUUGUAUAAAUAGAGUCCUAGCUAAUAACCUUAUUUUCCCGUCACUCAAGGCCGUUGUUAUUUUAUUUUGGCUGCAAUAAGGUGCCACUAUUAUUUAUUUGCAUUUUCUACUAAUAUUUUUCUCUAAAAAGAAUUUAUUGUUGCUUCUUGUCUACAAAAUUUGAUUUGAAUACAAUAUAAUUAUAGCUUAAGCCUUGAAAUAGUUUGCAUUUUCCCUCAGAUUUUCUUAUAAUCUUGACAUGUCCUACAUCAUUUUUGAACAUUUUGUUCUUACUAUACCAUGACAUCUCUAAUUGAAAGAGAUGCAUCCUUACUGAAUUCUUUAUGUGUGUUCUCUAAUAAAUUUAUGCAGCUUCUUAUGAUGGAAAAAUAGUGAAUCCAUUUCUUUGAAUUUGCAAUUUAGAAUACAAGAACAGAGAAGUAUAAAUUACUAUGCUCUGAAGUUCUUUGGAGAUCCAUUGUGGUCAUAUUUUGUGGUGUGAAUACGCAUAACUGUACGUUGAUCCGGUUUGCAGCUUACCUUUGUCACGCAGCCGAUGUACUGGGCGCCAACGCUGUUGGAGGCGAGGGCCAUCGUGGGACCAGGUUGAUUUUGAACCUGCCCAAGAGUGGAGCGCUACAAUAUUGGAAGCUGAUGAACAUCCAUCAGUGGUGAAGUGUACGGUAAUGAGAGCGUUAUAAACAAUCUCGUCUAUGUGAGCAUUUUAAUUUUGUCAUUUUAAUAAUGAAUGGAUCUGACUUAAUUAUUUGACAACCAAUUCAGACUAGAAUUGAUUCUGAUUAGAUCUGGAGGAGGAAUAUACACUUACCUAUAUCAGCUUAGACCAUUGUCCUAUGAGGCUGCUCAAACAGUGGCAGAGGGAAGCAGUAUACAUGGUAAAUUUCAGAUUACAUUGCGGACAAAUCUUCAUGAACCAGCCCAUCUGCUAACUCAUACCAUUCGUAGCACUAUAAUUAACUUCCUGGCCCCCUUUUUUUUUACUGUUUAUGUUGACCAUUUAAACCUGCUAACUACAUCGAUUUCAAGAGUCAAGACAGUUUUCUUGUUAAAAUUGAAAGUAAAAAAUGAUUGUCAAAUUCUCUAAUUGAACCUGACUUCCUUUUGGCAACCCACUCCAAACAAGGAUGGUGACCUGUCUUAUUUGUAGAAUGGCCAUUUAUUGUGUAAGAGUUCUUGGUUAGGAUUCAUCUAAAAUUUUGCAGCCUAAAAUACGUUGUCCGAAAUAGUCAGCUAAUACAAUUUAGUUAUUAUAAUGGAUUUUUUCACAAUUGCGGUGGAAGGGAAAAAUCUUAGUUCUUAGUUCUGUGAAGUUUAAGGAACUUUCCUUGUUGGGCGUGCUAGAUGGAGGUUAAUAAUGAUUGUGUUUAUUUCUACCGUUUUUUUUACUGUGUGGGAUCAUGUGGCAAAUCAAUCCAUAUAAGCACAAGAGGUGAAACCUUUACUAGGAGCUUGACUUGUGUGGAAUAGUCAAUAGAUAUCUGAAACUAAGCUCAGUGAAAGGAAGCAAACCGAUUUGCAUGGCAGAUGUGUGAGCCAGCAACUGCAAGAAGCGGAACUCAGCUGUUUAGCUUAAAGGUGAUGGCUAUCUAGAUUGGUUCAAAGAAUCAAAUUUAAUUCUAGGCAUGCUAACCCAACUGGAAAGCAAUUGGCUGGAAACUCGGUUUCUCUUACUAGCAAAGGCAUCUAUAUUUUGCCAGUUUUGCUUUUGUUCUGCAGUGUCAUAUGUGUAUCGGAAGGGUCAUAUGUGUAUCGGAAGAAAUAAGGUGGUGCUUUCUCUAUGCGUGUUGUAGAUGACCGUAUUCUGGAUUUGCUUUAUUGUGGAGUUACCAAGUGAUGUUAGGUCACUUGACUUUGAUUUUCUCCAAGCAAUAAUAUAAGGAUACUAGAGUUUGGUUUGCUAAA